This 29-nucleotide non-coding RNA is filed under the name Rattus norvegicus (Norway rat). Lineage: Eukaryota; Metazoa; Chordata; Mammalia; Rodentia; Muridae. The record is from RNAcentral.
UCUCAAAUGAACCCCUGCUGAUGGAGAGG